Molecule: ribosomal RNA, 253 nt
Filed under: uncultured bacterium
Lineage: Bacteria
Description: partial 16S ribosomal RNA
Rfam family: Bacterial small subunit ribosomal RNA
Source: RNAcentral
UACGUAAGGUGCAAGCGUUGUCCGGAAUCACUGGGCGUAGAGGGCGCGUAGGCGGUUUGAUAAGUAGAAGGUGAAAGAUUCGAGCUCAACUCGAAAACUGCCUUCUAAACUGUCUUACUUGAGGGUCUGAGGGGAAACUGGAAUUCACGGUGUAGCGGUGAAAUGCGUAGAUAUCUUGAGGAACACCGGUGGCGAAGGCGGGUCUCUGGGCCGAUACUGACGCUGAGGAGCGAAAGCGUGGGGAGCGAACAGG